This 253-nucleotide ribosomal RNA is filed under the name uncultured bacterium. Its description in RNAcentral is "partial 16S ribosomal RNA". It matches the Rfam family "Bacterial small subunit ribosomal RNA", at positions 524 to 776 of the family's 1533-position model. The record is from RNAcentral.
UACGGGGGGGGCAAGCGUUGCUCGGAAUCACUGGGCAUAAAGCGCACGUAGGCGGCCUCGUAAGUGUCGGAUGAAAUCCCACGGCUCACCCGUGGAACGGUCCGGCAUACUGCGGGGCUCGAGGAUGGUAGAGGAGAGCGGAACUCUUGGUGGAGCGGUGAAAUGCGUAGAUAUCAAGAGGAACACCGGUGGCGAAGGCGGCUCUCUGGUCCAUGUCUGACGCUGAGGUGCGAAAGCCAGGGGAGCAAACGGG